Molecule: small RNA, 1231 nt
Filed under: Histoplasma ohiense
Lineage: Eukaryota; Fungi; Ascomycota; Eurotiomycetes; Onygenales; Ajellomycetaceae
Description: hypothetical lncRNA
Source: RNAcentral
UGAAGAGCUGUCUGAUGAUGUGUGUUCAAACAGCUGUAUUAUUUCAUGCAGUACUGUGUGUAGAACUGCAUGCAGUCAAGCAGUUCUAUAAAGUCUGUAGAGAUCAGAGAUUCUAGAUAGACAACAGCUGUUAUCUGAUUAUAUAGCUGUGCUGCUGAUCUCUUGAGUCAGUGAGAGAAGUGUCUCUGUGAAUGUCAACAGAGUAUCAAAUAUUCUGAGCUUUUGUUGUAUUCACAGAUAUAGAUGAGUCUCACAUCUGCAUGCUGAAAGCAUCUGUGAUAGAGCAAUCGCCCUGCCGCCGCUCCCUGCGAGCAAUCGUCCUGCUGCUGCUCGCUACGAGCAAUCGCCCUGCCUCCGCCCUGCCUCCGCCCUGCCUCUGCUCUCUGUGAGAGCAAUCACCCUGCCGCUGCUCACUACGAGCAAUCGCCCUGCCGCUGCUCCCUGCGAGCAAUCACCCUGCCGCUGCUCCCUGCGAGCAAUCGUCCUGCUGCUGCUCGCUACGAGCAAUCGCCCUGCCGCUGCUCCCUGUGAGCAAUCGCCCUGCCUCCGCCCUGCCUCUGCUCUCUGUGAGAGCAAUCACCCUGCCGCUGCUCCCUGCGAGCAAUCGCCCUGCCGCCGCUCCCUGCAAGCAAUCGUCCUGCUGCUGCUCGCUACGAGCAAUCGCCCUGCCGCUGCUCCCUGUGAGCAAUCGCCCUGCCUCCGCCCUGCCUCCGCCCUGCCUCUGCUCUCUGUGAGAGCAAUCACCCUGCCGCUGCUCACUACGAGCAAUCGCUCUGCCGCUGCUCCCUGUGAGCAAUCGCCCUGCCGUAGCACUUGUGUGCUUUGAUUAUCUUUACCAUGAAUGGCCAUACAUCGGGCCAGAAGUGGAUGAACAGUCUAUAUAGACUGAGUCUUCUCAAGAGUUGCUAUCUGGAUCCUGUGUCUAUCAUUACUGUGUAUAUAGAGAUUUCUCCAGCAUAGCACAUCUCCAUGCCCUUCGGGAGGCUUCUGAAACAUGGGCGCUGCCCGUGCUUUCUCCGGGAUGUUAAACCAAUACAAACAAACAAAUACAAACAAAUACACAGCAGAUAUCAACUGUCUCAGUGUUGAAGAUAUAUGAUAUAGAGCUCAGUGCAGCUAAGAAGCUGAUCAGCUGUUUGUUUCUCUGAUAGAUUAUAAAGCUAUAGCUCAUCUGUCUGCUGUUGUCAAGAAUCUAUACUGAUUUAUCUGAGAAAAUAUAUAAAUUUGUUGA